CCUAGCCUAUCGCUCGACGGUGCCCUCCGGGGCCUAACAGGGAACGCGGUGAGGGCUCGCGCCCGAAUCCGCGGCUGCCCCCGCAACUGUGAGCGGCGAGCCCUCCAUCACCACGUCACUGGGGUCAUGCCCGGGAAGACGAUGGGGGGCGGCGACCCGCGAGCCAGGAGACCUGCCGUCGACCGUGGUCACAC
RNAcentral lists this non-coding RNA (194 nucleotides) under Methylobacterium sp. Lineage: Bacteria; Pseudomonadati; Pseudomonadota; Alphaproteobacteria; Hyphomicrobiales; Methylobacteriaceae. The record is from RNAcentral. RNAcentral also lists the same sequence under 1 other name.